AUUGAACGCUGGCGGCAUGCCUUACACAUGCAAGUCGAACGGCAGCACGGGUGCUUGCACCUGGUGGCGAGUGGCGAACGGGUGAGUAAUACAUCGGAACAUGUCCUGUAGUGGGGGAUAGCCCGGCGAAAGCCGGAUUAAUACCGCAUACGAUCCACGGAUGAAAGCGGGGGACCUUCGGGCCUCGCGCUAUAGGGUUGGCCGAUGGCUGAUUAGCUAGUUGGUGGGGUAAAGGCCUACCAAGGCGACGAUCAGUAGCUGGUCUGAGAGGACGACCAGCCACACUGGGACUGAGACACGGCCCAGACUCCUACGGGAGGCAGCAGUGGGGAAUUUUGGACAAUGGGCGAAAGCCUGAUCCAGCAAUGCCGCGUGUGUGAAGAAGGCCUUCGGGUUGUAAAGCACUUUUGUCCGGAAAGAAAUCCUUGGCUCUAAUACAGUCGGGGGAUGGCGGUACCGGAAGAAUAAGCACCGGCUAACUACGUG
This 486-nucleotide ribosomal RNA is filed under the name uncultured bacterium. RNAcentral's name for it is "partial 16S ribosomal RNA". It matches the Rfam family "Bacterial small subunit ribosomal RNA", at positions 30 to 507 of the family's 1533-position model. The record is from RNAcentral.